This 779-nucleotide ribosomal RNA is filed under the name uncultured Neocallimastigales. RNAcentral describes it as "partial large subunit ribosomal RNA". It matches the Rfam family "Eukaryotic large subunit ribosomal RNA", at positions 19 to 621 of the family's 3401-position model. Lineage: Eukaryota; Fungi; Neocallimastigomycota; Neocallimastigomycetes; Neocallimastigales. The record is from RNAcentral.
CGAGCACGCGCGUGUGGCAUAUCAAUAAGCGGAGGAAAAGAAAACUAACAAGGAUUCCCUUAGUAACGGCGAGUGAAGCGGGAAGAGCUCAAAUUUGAAAUCUUCAAGGUUCUACCUUGACGAAUUGUAGUUUAUAGAAGUGUUUUUCUGUUAGUGGAGUGGCAAAAGUUCUUUGGAAUAGGACAUCAUAGAGGGUGAGAAUCCCGUAUUUGGUCAUUCCUUCCUAGCUUUGUGAUACACUUUCAACGAGUCGGAUUGUUUGGGAAUGCAGUCCAAAAUGGGUGGUAAAUUUCAUCUAAAGCUAAAUAUUGGCGAGAGACCGAUAGCGAACAAGUACCGUGAGGGAAAGAUGAAAAGAACUUUGAAAAGAGAGUUAAACAGUACGUGAAAUUGUCAAAAGGGAAGCGUUUGACACCAGUGUUGUUUUUUCCGAAAAUCAAUUACGAAUGUUUUGUUUUUGAGGAGUUAUGACUUCAUCGGCUUGCUCCUUUCUUUACGAAAGCUUUCUUAAUGCACUUUUCGGUUAACAAGUCAACAUCAAUUUCUUUUGUUGUAAAAGGGUAUGAGGAAGGUGGCUUUCUUUUCGGAGAAAGUGUUUAUAGCCUUGUGCCUCUGCAAUCGGAGAGAUUGAGGUCUGCAGCGUAGAUCCUUCGGGGUUAGAUACGUUUGUGCUAAGUUAUAGCUUUUCAUAGACAACUUGUUGACUAUGUUUAGUCUUGUAGCUUACUCGCUGAUGCUAUUUUACCUACGCUUAGGAUGUUGAACUCUAUCACACACAG